Molecule: ribosomal RNA, 377 nt
Filed under: uncultured eukaryote
Lineage: Eukaryota
Description: partial 18S ribosomal RNA
Rfam family: Eukaryotic small subunit ribosomal RNA
Source: RNAcentral
CAAUAGCGUAUAUUAAAGUUGUUGCAGUUAAAAAGCUCGUAGUUGGAUUUCGGAGUGGGUCAGUUGGUCCGCCGCAAGGUGAGUUACUGGCUGGUCUGCUCUUCUUCGCAAAGACUGCGUAUCCUCUUUAUUGAGCGUGCGUAGGAUUUACGACGUUUACUUUGAAAAAAUAGAGUGUUCAAAGCAGGCUAUCGCUUGAAUACAUGAGCAUGGAAUAAUGGAAUAGGACUUUGGUCUUAUUUUAUUGGUUUCCGAGACCGAAGUAAUGAUUAAGAGGGACAAUUGGGGGCAUCCGUAUUUCGUUGUCAGAGGUGAAAUUCUUGGAUUUACGAAAGACGAACAACUGCGAAAGCACUUGCCAAGAGUGUUUUCAUUAA